CUUGCUACAUCAACUAAAAUCCAUAAACUACCAUCUCGAUGGCAUAGACCUUUCUGCAUUUCUAUAGUGAUUUUUGAUACUACAUAUCGCCUUGAGUUUCCACCACAUAUUUGGAUCCAUCUAGUCUUCUAUGUUUUGCAAGUAAAGGAAUUUUAUAUCAAAUCAAAGCACUUUUGGAAUCAACAUCAACCACCACUACUAUCAAUUGUAGUUGAUAAUCAACAAGAAUGUGAAAUAGAUAGGAUUUUGGAGCAUCACUAUCUUUACAUGGUAGUGGACAUCUAUAACUUUAGAACAAAAUUCUUUAAAAAGAUUAUUCCAUCUAUAAUGUAAUAUUCUCGUAUUACAUGAAGUGUUGUUUGAUAGUGCACCAGGCACUUGGUUAUAGAAGGUAGAAUAGAAAUUACAAUAAAAAAAUCUUAAUUCCAAUAUAAUAUUAAAUAAAAUCUAAUUAAAAAUUAACAAUACUAAAUAAGCUUUAAUCAAAUUCAAAAGAACCUUAUAGAAAUUACAAAAAAAAAAUAAGAAAUCUUAAAGGAGUUGAAAGAUAAUCCACAAUAAACCUUAAAAGAAUCCUUAAGAAGCUUCAAAAAAUAUUAAAAUAAUUAUAAUAUAUCUUAAAUAAAUCUCAACUAAGUUUUAAUUUAAUCCUAGUUGAAACCUUAAUGAAUUUCAAUCAAAUUCUAGACAAACUCUAAACCCUAAAUCAAACCCUAAAAAAAGCCUUAAAAUCUAAACAAAUUCUAAAUCCUAAAUCCAAUCCUAAUCAAAUCCUAAAUCUUAAAUCAAAUUCUAAAAAAAUCCUAAAUCCCAAAUCAAACCCUAACCAAAUCCAAGACAAACUCCAAUUCUUAAUCAAAUCCAAGCCAAAUCCUAAAUCCUAAAUCAAACCCUAAUCAAAUCCUAAUCAAAUCUUAAAUCCUAAAUUCUAAAUGAAAUUCUAAUCAAAUCCUAACCAAAUCUUAAAUCCUAAAUCAAAUCUUAAUCAAAUUCUAAAAAAAUCCAAAUCCUAAAUAAAUCUUAAUCAAAUCCUAAACAAACUCCAACUUCUAAUCAAAUCCUAAUCAAAUCUUAAAUUCUAAAUCAUAAAUCAAAUCCUAAUCAAAUCUUAAAUUUUAAAUUCUAAAUCAAAUCCUAAUCAAAUCCUAAUCAAAUCUUAAAUCCUAAAUCCUAAAUCAAAUUCUAAUCAAAUCCUAACCAAAUCUUAAAUCCUAAAUCAAAUCUUAAUCAAAUUCUAAAAAAAUCCAAAUCCUAAAUAAAUCUUAAUCAAAUCCUAAACAAACUCCAACUUCUAAUCAAAUCUUAAUCAAAUCUUAAAUUCUAAAUCAUAAAUCAAAUCCUAAUCAAAUCUUAAAUUCUAAAUCCUAAAUCAAAUCCUAAUCAAAUCCUAAUUAAAUCCUAAUCAAAUCUUAAACCCUAAAAUAAAUCCUAAACAAAUCCUAUAUCCUAAAUCAAAUCCUAAUCAAAUCUUAAACCUUAAAUCAAAUCCUAAGGUAGUUUAGAAC
Molecule: long non-coding RNA, 1505 nt
Filed under: Physcomitrium patens
Lineage: Eukaryota; Viridiplantae; Streptophyta; Bryopsida; Funariales; Funariaceae
Description: long non-coding RNA (PPAT_LNC008489)
Source: RNAcentral